UGCCAGCAGCCGCGGUAAUACGUAGGUGGCAAGCGUUGUCCGGAAUUAUUGGGCGUAAAGCGCGCGCAGGCGGUUCCUUAAGUCUGAUGUGAAAGCCCACGGCUCAACCGUGGAGGGUCAUUGGAAACUGGGGGACUUGAGUGCAGAAGAGGAGAGCGGAAUUCCACGUGUAGCGGUGAAAUGCGUAGAGAUGUGGAGGAACACCAGUGGCGAAGGCGGCUCUCUGGUCUGUAACUGACGCUGAGGCGCGAAAGCGUGGGGAGCAAACAGGAUUGGAUACCCUGGUAGUCCACGCCGUAAACGAUGAGUGCUAAGUGUUAGAGGGUAUCCGCCCUUUAGUGCUGUAGCUAACGCAUUAAGCACUCCGCCUGGGGAGUACGCUCGCAAGAGUGAAACUCAAAGGAAUUGACGG
Molecule: ribosomal RNA, 412 nt
Filed under: uncultured bacterium
Lineage: Bacteria
Description: bacterial SSU rRNA
Rfam family: Bacterial small subunit ribosomal RNA
Source: RNAcentral